This 768-nucleotide ribosomal RNA is filed under the name Bacillus cereus. RNAcentral's name for it is "bacterial SSU rRNA". It matches the Rfam family "Bacterial small subunit ribosomal RNA", at positions 46 to 797 of the family's 1533-position model. The record is from RNAcentral. Lineage: Bacteria; Bacillati; Bacillota; Bacilli; Caryophanales; Bacillaceae.
GCGUAGCUGCAGUCGAGCGAAUGGAUUAAGAGCUUGCUCUUAUGAAGUUAGCGGCGGACGGGUGAGUAACACGUGGGUAACCUGCCCAUAAGACUGGGAUAACUCCGGGAAACCGGGGCUAAUACCGGAUAACAUUUUGAACUGCAUGGUUCGAAAUUGAAAGGCGGCUUCCGCUGUCACUUAUGGAUGGACCCGCGUCGCAUUAGCUAGUUGGUGAGGUAACGGCUCACCAAGGCAACGAUGCGUAGCCGACCUGAGAGGGUGAUCGGCCACACUGGGACUGAGACACGGCCCACACUCCUACGGGAGGCAGCAGUAGGGAAUCUUCCGCAAUGGACGAAAGUCUGACGGAGCAACGCCGCGUGAGUGAUGAAGGCUUUCGGGUCGUAAAACUCUGUUGUUAGGGAAGAACGAGUGCUAUUUGAAUAAGCUGGCACCUUGACGGUACCUAACCAGAAAGCCACGGCUAACUACGUGCCAGCAGCCGCGGUAAUACGUAGGUGGCAAGCGUUAUCCGGAAUUAUUGGGCGUAAAGCGCGCGCAGGUGGUUUCUUAAGUCUGAUGUGAAAGCCCACGGCUCAACCGUGGAGGGUCAUUGGAAACUGGGAGACUUGAGUGCGGAAGAGGAAAGUGGAAUUCCAUGUGUAGCGGUGAAAUGCGUAGAGAUAUGGAGGAACACCAGUGGCGCAGGCGACUUUCUAGUCUGUAACUGACACUGAGGCGCGAAAGCGUGCGGGACCCACCAGGAUUACAUACCCUGGUAGUCCA